This 424-nucleotide ribosomal RNA is filed under the name Fusobacteriota bacterium. Its description in RNAcentral is "Fusobacteria bacterium partial 16S ribosomal RNA". It matches the Rfam family "Bacterial small subunit ribosomal RNA", at positions 355 to 776 of the family's 1533-position model. Lineage: Bacteria; Fusobacteriati; Fusobacteriota. The record is from RNAcentral.
UGAGGAAUAUUGGUCAAUGGGCGAGAGCCUGAACCAGCCAAGUCGCGUGAAGGAAGACAGUCCUAAGGAUUGUAAACUUCUUUUAUACGGGAAUAACGGGCGAUACGAGUAUUGCAUUGAAUGUACCGUAAGAAUAAGCAUCGGCUAACUCCGUGCCAGCAGCCGCGGUAAUACGGAGGAUGCGAGCGUUAUCCGGAUUUAUUGGGUUUAAAGGGUGCGUAGGUUGUUCGGUAAGUCAGCGGUGAAACCUGAGCGCUCAACGUUCAGCCUGCCGUUGAAACUGCCGGGCUUGAGUUGAGUGGCGGCAGGCGGAAUUCGUGGUGUAGCGGUGAAAUGCAUAGAUAUCACGAGGAACUCCGAUUGCGAAGGCAGCUUGCCAUACUGCGACUGACACUGAAGCACGAAGGCGUGGGUAUCAAACAGG